This 374-nucleotide ribosomal RNA is filed under the name uncultured eukaryote. Its description in RNAcentral is "partial 18S ribosomal RNA". It matches the Rfam family "Eukaryotic small subunit ribosomal RNA", at positions 592 to 976 of the family's 1831-position model. The record is from RNAcentral.
CAAGAGCGUAUGUAAAAGUUGUUGCAGUUAAAAAGCUCGUAGUUGAACCUUGGGUUUGGUUGGCCGGUCCGCUUUUUUGCGAGUACUGGAUUUAACCGAGCCUUUCCUUCUGGCUAACCAGUCGUUUCGGCGGCUGGCGAACCAGGAUUUUUACUUUGAGAAAAUUAGAGUGUUCAAAGCAGGCAUUAGCUUGAAUAUAUUAGCAUGGAAUAAUAGAAUAGGACGUUAUGGUUCUAUUUUGUUGGUUUCUAGGACCAUCGUAAUGAUUAAUAGGGACGGUCGGGGGCAUCAGUAUUCAGUUGUCAGAGGUGAAAUUCUUGGAUUUACUGAAGACUAACUACUGCGAAAGCAUUUGCCAAGGACGUUUUCAUUAA